This 234-nucleotide ribosomal RNA is filed under the name uncultured Lactobacillus sp. RNAcentral describes it as "partial 16S ribosomal RNA". It matches the Rfam family "Bacterial small subunit ribosomal RNA", at positions 128 to 354 of the family's 1533-position model. Lineage: Bacteria; Bacillati; Bacillota; Bacilli; Lactobacillales; Lactobacillaceae. The record is from RNAcentral.
GCCCAAGAGAUCGGGAUAACACCUGGAAACAGAUGCUAAUACCGGAUAACAAUAGAUGAUGCCUAUCAACUGUUUAAAAGAUGGUUCUGCUAUCACUCUUGGAUGGACCUGCGGUGCAUUAGCUAGUUGGUAGGGUAACGGCCUACCAAGGCGAUGAUGCAUAGCCGAGUUGAGAGACUGAUCGGCCACAUUGGGACUGAGACACGGCCCAAACUCCUACGGGAGGCAGCAGGU